RNAcentral lists this ribosomal RNA (385 nucleotides) under uncultured bacterium. RNAcentral describes it as "partial 16S ribosomal RNA". The record is from RNAcentral.
GCGUAUGAGAAGGCUUGGUUGUAACCUUGGAAGAGACGUCCAGAAGAGCACCGGUAACUCUGCCACGCCCGUACAGGUGCAGCUUAUCGGAAUUACUGGGCGUAGCGCAGGUGUAAGACGGUGAAAUCCCGGCUACCUGAAUGCACUGGUCUGAGUGCGAGGGAUGGAAUCCGUGUACAGUAAAUGCGUAAUAUGGAGAACACCGUGCAAGGCCUGCCGUGGGGAGCAAACAGGAUUAGAUACCCUGGUAGUCCACGCCCUAACGAUGAACUGGUGUUUACAAUAACGCGUGAAGUCGCCUGGGGUCGGCCGCAAGGUAAAAAGGAUGACGGGCGCAAGCGGUGGAUGGGUUAAUUCAACAAAACUCCUUGACGUACGGUGAUGC